UACUCCUACGGGAGGCAGCAGUAGGGAAUCUUCCGCAAUGGACGAAAGUCUGACGGAGCGACGCCGCGUGAGCGAAGAAGGUCUUCGGAUCGUAAAGCUCAGUUGUUAGGGAAGAAGAAGUACCGUUCGAAUAGGGCGGUACGGUGACGGUACCUAACGAGAAAGCCCCGGCUAACUACGUGCCAGCAGCCGCGGUAAU
RNAcentral lists this ribosomal RNA (199 nucleotides) under uncultured bacterium. Its description in RNAcentral is "partial 16S ribosomal RNA". It matches the Rfam family "Bacterial small subunit ribosomal RNA", at positions 334 to 524 of the family's 1533-position model. The record is from RNAcentral.